GCAGGGAUGGUUCAGCCGUAGAAUUCUUGCCUUCCAUGUGGGAGAUCCAGGUUCAAUUCCUGGCUAAUGUG
RNAcentral lists this transfer RNA (71 nucleotides) under Loxodonta africana (African savanna elephant). It matches the Rfam family "tRNA". From Rfam's summary of the family: Transfer RNA (tRNA) molecules are approximately 80 nucleotides in length. Their secondary structure includes four short double-helical elements and three loops (D, anti-codon, and T loops). The record is from Rfam by way of RNAcentral. Lineage: Eukaryota; Metazoa; Chordata; Mammalia; Proboscidea; Elephantidae.